This 1050-nucleotide ribosomal RNA is filed under the name uncultured archaeon. RNAcentral describes it as "bacterial SSU rRNA". It matches the Rfam family "Archaeal small subunit ribosomal RNA", at positions 1 to 1053 of the family's 1478-position model. The record is from RNAcentral.
GCGGCCGCUCCGUUUGAUCCUGCCAGAGGCCACUGCUAUCGGGGUUCGAUUAAGCCAUGCAAGUCGAGAGGUGCAAGACCUCGGCAUACUGCUCAGUAACACGUGGACAACCUGCCCUAAGGAGGGGGAUAACCCCGGGAAACUGGGGAUAAUACCUCAUAGACUACAGAUGCUGGAAUGCUUUGUAGUUGAAAGGUCCGCCGCCAUAGGAUGGGUCUGCGGCCGAUUAGGUUGUUGUUGGGGUAACGGCCCAACAAGCCUGUAAUCGGUACGGGUUGUGGGAGCAAGAGCCCGGAGAUGGAUUCUGAGACACGAGUCCAGGCCCUACGGGGCGCAGCAGGCGCGAAAACUUUACAAUGCGGGAAACCGUGAUAAGGGAACUCCGAGUGCCCGUAAAAUCGGGCUGUCCAUCUGUUUAAAUAACAGGUGAAGAAAGGGCCGGGCAAGACCGGUGCCAGCCGCCGCGGUAAUACCGGCGGCUCGAGUGGUGGCCACUAUUACUGGGCUUAAAGCGUUCGUAGCUGGUCUGUUAAGUCUCUGGGGAAAUCUACUGGCUUAACCAAUAGGUGUCUCAGGGAUACUGGCAGACUAGGGACCGGGAGAGGUGAGAGGUACUCCAGGGGUAGGAGUGAAAUCCUGUAAUCCUUGGGGGACCACCUGUGGCGAAGGCGUCUCACCAGAACGGCUCCGACAGUGAGGGACGAAAGCUGGGGGAGCAAACCGGAUUAGAUACCCGGGUAGUCCCAGCCGUAAACGAUGCGCGUUAGGUGUAUCGGUGACCACGAGACACCAAGGUGCCGAAGAGAAAUCGUGAAACGUGCCGCCUGGGAAGUACGGUCGCAAGGCUGAAACUUAAAGGAAUUGGCGGGGGAGCACCACAACAGGUGGAGCCUGCGGUUUAAUCGGACUCAACGCCGGGAAACUCACCAGAUAAGACAGCUGAAUGAUAGUCGGGCUGAAGACUCUACUUGACUAGCUGAGAGGAGGUGCAUGGCCGUCGUCAGUUCGUACUGUGAAGCAUCCUGUUAAGUCAGGCAACGAGCGAGACCC